RNAcentral lists this ribosomal RNA (515 nucleotides) under uncultured bacterium. RNAcentral describes it as "bacterial SSU rRNA". It matches the Rfam family "Bacterial small subunit ribosomal RNA", at positions 28 to 531 of the family's 1533-position model. The record is from RNAcentral.
AACGAACGCUGGCGGCGUGCUUAACACAUGCAAGUCGAACGUGAAAGGCUUCGGCCGAGUAAAGUGGCGCACGGGUGAGUAACGCGUGGGUAAUCUGCCCUUGGGCGGGGGAUAACCUCUCGAAAGGGGGGCUAAUACCGCAUGAGACCACGGCUUCUCGGGGCUGUGGGAAAAGGUGGGUCGCAAGGCCUGCCACCUGAGGAUGAGCCCGCGUACCAUUAGGUCGUUGGUGGGGUAAUGGCCUACCAAGCCGAAGAUGGUUAGCUGGUCUGAGAGGACGAUCAGCCACACUGGGACUGAGACACGGCCCAGACUCCUACGGGAGGCAGCAGUGGGGAAUAUUGCGCAAUGGGGGAAACCCUGACGCAGCAACGCCGCGUGUGUGAAGAAGGCCUUCGGGUCGUAAAGCACUGUUGGGAGGAACGAGCCGCUCGUGGGGAAUAUCUGCGAGCCCGACGGUACCUCCUGAGGAAGCACCGGCUAACUCCGUGCCAGCAGCCGCGGUAAUGUAGUCG